GUCGAGCGGACUUGAUAAGAAGCUUGCUUCUCUGAUAGUUAGCGGCGGACGGGUGAGUAACACGUAGGCAACCUGCCCUCAAGUUUGGGACAACUACCGGAAACGGUAGCUAAUACCGAAUAAUUGUUUUCUUCGCCUGAAGGAAACUGGAAAGACGGAGCAAUCUGUCACUUGGGGAUGGGCCUGCGGCGCAUUAGCUAGUUGGUGAGGUAACGGCUCACCAAGGCGACGAUGCGUAGCCGACCUGAGAGGGUGAUCGGCCACACUGGGACUGAGACACGGCCCAGACUCCUACGGGAGGCAGCAGUAGGGAAUCUUCCGCAAUGGGCGAAAGCCUGACGGAGCAAUGCCGCGUGAGUGAUGAAGGUUUUCGGAUCGUAAAGCUCUGUUGCCAGGGAAGAACGCUUGGGAGAGUAACUGCUCUCAAGGUGACGGUACCUGAGAAGAAAGCCCCGGCUAACUACGUGCCAGCAGCCGCGGUAAUACGUAGGGGGCAAGCGUUGUCCGGAAUUAUUGGGCGUAAAGCGCGCGCAGGCGGUCAUUUAAGUCUGGUGUUUAAUCCCGGGGCUCAACCCCGGAUCGCACU
This 586-nucleotide ribosomal RNA is filed under the name Bacillus sp. MYb67. RNAcentral's name for it is "bacterial SSU rRNA". It matches the Rfam family "Bacterial small subunit ribosomal RNA", at positions 61 to 627 of the family's 1533-position model. Lineage: Bacteria; Bacillati; Bacillota; Bacilli; Caryophanales; Bacillaceae. The record is from RNAcentral.